This 63-nucleotide transfer RNA is filed under the name Camelus bactrianus (Bactrian camel). It matches the Rfam family "tRNA". From Rfam's summary of the family: Transfer RNA (tRNA) molecules are approximately 80 nucleotides in length. Their secondary structure includes four short double-helical elements and three loops (D, anti-codon, and T loops). Further hydrogen bonds mediate the characteristic L-shaped molecular structure. tRNAs have two regions of fundamental functional importance: the anti-codon, which is responsible for specific mRNA codon recognition, and the 3' end, to which the tRNAs corresponding amino acid is attached (by aminoacyl-tRNA synthetases). tRNAs cope with the degeneracy of the genetic code in two manners: having more than one tRNA (with a specific anti-codon) for a particular amino acid; and 'wobble' base-pairing, i.e. permitting non-standard base-pairing at the 3rd anti-codon position. RNAcentral also lists the same sequence under 2 other names. The record is from Rfam by way of RNAcentral. Lineage: Eukaryota; Metazoa; Chordata; Mammalia; Artiodactyla; Camelidae.
GAGGCUAUAGCUCAGUGGUAGAGUGCAUACACAAGGUCCUGGGUUCAAUCCCCAGUACCUCCU